GUGUAUUUAUGUGUGUUCUCUAAUGUGGAAGGCAACGAGAGACGCUGCAGGGCGAUGAAGUAUAAGCAAGUGUGCGUCCAAGGCAGCGCUGAAUGCUAACUUCAAAUGAAGAACGUCUUCAGUUAGAGGAAGUCAGAGAAAAUGCCUCGGGAGGGAAAAGGCAUCAACUCUGACUGUGAGUACGUAAUAAUAUUUUGUCAGGAGUCCUUCUCUUAUUCCUAUUCAACUACAGACUUUCAGCUAGCAUUAAUCUUCUAAUCAGAAGGGAACAAAUCUAUUUAUAAUUGACAUAAAUGAUAGUCCUAUUUAUAGUUCUCUUUGGCGUUCCAUGUUUCUCCGCGGGAGAUUUUCCCUGAAACAAAAGCCUACUUUUUGGAGCAACCAGCGGUGUUCCAGGGACAGCCUUCAUCACUUCAGUUGCCCAGGAGCUGAAUUUAAUUAACCUCCUACCCCUGCUCCUGAUCAUGCACGCCUCCUGCUUUAGCCCUAGUCCUUCUGGUCCACAGAAGUCAUGUUUGACCCAGAAAAGCAGUGGCCGUCCGUACACUCAGAGGAAGGCGAGUGGGUGCCACCGUGGCCACCCACUGUCAUCUUCUGAAGACGUUCUAGCCCAGCUCUCCACUUCUCACAGCUCCACGCUCAAAUCAUCUCUAGAAACAUGUGCUGGGCCUUGAUUUUCUGAGAAUUCUGUGACGACUCCACAGGUAUUGCCCUAUCCUAUUCCCACAAAAGCUUCUUCUGGUAGGCAGGCAGGCACAAAUGUACACAUUUUACGAAGGAGAGAAUUUCCCAGAGGUUCACAGCUCAUGACCGACCGGCUCAUUCCAGGCACUCUCAGCAGGGCGUGCAGGUGUCCCCAACCCAGAGCCAAAGCGCUUGCUGCUACUCAAAGUAGUAUUUCUACCAGGAAAAUAAACACAACUGCAAAGUGUCCAGGCACUCACAGUUGGAUUUUUGCCUACUUCAGAACAAGCUGCUUUGAGGAAUCCUGGGGCUGAAAGCAAAGGAACCAAAGAUGGCCAUGUUCUCUGUCUCUGGCCCUGUGUGCACCAGGGGGUGUGGAGGUUGGGUGUGAGGUGGAGCUCAUGGCUCCAGGUAGAAUUUGGAUGCAUCACUGAAUUUGAGUUGGAAAGAAUGGCCUCGAACUUCACAAGAGGAGGAAUUUUUUUUUUUAAAAAAAUGAAUUUUCUAUCAACUCAAGGUCAAACCAGCUUGUCCACACAGUAUUUCUGGCCCCCUCAGGCUGCAGAGUGAGGGCCCAGGGAGACAGAGGGCAUGAAGGUGAUAAAGUCCACCUUAUUUUUAGACCUCCAUAGAAGACCUUACAAGACUGCGUAUAAAGAGAGAAUGAAAAUGCUUGGUACUCAUUGGAAAUUCAGUAAACAUGUUUGAAAAUCUUCUAUGUCCAGGAGGAAAAAAAUACCAUUUGAUAUAUUAUUAUUUCCUUGAAUGGUAUGUAGGAUGAUCAUUCCUACAUAUGAGUAAGGACCCCUUCCUUUUUUUCUUUGGUACCGGGGAUUGAACUCGGGACCUUGCACUUGGGAGGCAGGCAGCGGAAUCACUGAGCUAAAUCCCCAGCAGGACUGCUUUCUUAAGCAGAUAGAAGGACCUUGGGGCUUUUAUAUUUUUCCUUGGGACCAUGGUAGGUACUCAUUAAUAUUUAUGUCUCUUUUGCUUAUUUUAGCUUUUUCUUGGUUUCUAGUACUGCCUAGGUAUACUGUCAUCCAUACAACACUGCUGAGUUUAAUUACAUUUCAAUAGAGUAACAUUUUUUCUCUUUGGUCAGUAUUUUACAAGUGAUCAUUCCAAUCAAAAUUCAUUAAGUUGGAUCCAUUAAGUUCGAAAUUUGAGUCUAUAACCUUCGGGCUCAGUGAUAGCCUUUCUGCUGAUGCACACAGGAAUGAGAGCUCCUUUCUAGGUACUCAGAAACUUUCGAAAUAGAUGGUUUUGAAGGUAGCAGGCAGAGCCCUUUGCAUUUUUAUUUGUCUGCAGGUAUUUGUGCUCUACCUGGCUCAUUUCACUGCUCCUGUGGGGCCCAGGAAUGGAUCAAGUCCUGGAAAUCUAACACACGCUGAGUGUCCUGAAGGAUCUGCAGAUGCUCCUUGUGAGGGUGUUGCAAAGGGAAACCGAAUCUGCUACUGGAAAAGCCCCAGCCCAUGAACCCCUUCAUCUUCCCUGCAGCAGAGAACUGGAUAGAGCUGCCGCAUUGCAGAAAAAUACACGGAUUCACUCAAUCAAACCUUAGGCUAGAAGCACAAAGUGGGAAUUUGCCCAUUCGAACAGUAGGAAGUACUUCUGAUUCUCUGACGCGUGUCCUUUUUCGCCAAAUCCAUGGUAAGCCCAGAUUCUGUCUCCCUCCGAGCUUCCUCCUUCUCCUCUUUCCUACUCAUCUCCAGAUGGGCAGACACUCCCUUGCUCAAGUCUUACACUAACACACACACACACACACACUCCACCUGACUAGAGAGAGGCCAACAUUUGGUAAGAAGAUGAGAGAGAUCUCAAGUGUGAGUCAUCAUGGGAGCUAUUCAGAGCUUGGGAGGUGACUGAGGUAAGCUGUCUACACUUGAGUGAUGUGAACCUUAGAGAAUGAUUCCUGCUCAGGUUCCUGGAGCCCUCUGAGAUUCCAAACAAUGGUACGAAGAGAGCAUCUGGCUUUGAGUUUCUCACUGUCUUGUAAUGCACAGUGGUCAUUUCCCUCAGGUAUACAGGCUUGGUUGUGCUCUUGCCUGCAGGCAUUGCAAUACACGGCUGCCUGCUCUUACUGACUGUCGACCUUCUAGUUGUCUGGGACCAAUUUAUGAGACAGGUGACUCUGCUUGUCAAAGACCCUUCUCCAGACGGAGACACCGCUGAAAAGUCCCACAGAAGAGCUCUGCCAAAGCAAUGCAGUGACAAAAGGGACCAAGGGGUGGAAGCCUGAGAGGAGGCCCUAAUACUAGAAGGAAGGCUCCGCAGGAAGUAAAGACGAACCCGAAGGAGGACAGCGCCACGCCCAUCUGUGAAACCUGCUGAAGCUCAUGGGCUCUCAGCGGCCGGGUCAUCUCCUCACACACACACCCUGCGACCGUCAACGCGCAGAGCCACACUCUCCGGACUCUGGGCCGCGAGGCGAGAGGGAGGGA
Non-coding RNA from Heterocephalus glaber (naked mole-rat), 3125 nucleotides. Lineage: Eukaryota; Metazoa; Chordata; Mammalia; Rodentia; Bathyergidae. The record is from RefSeq and is a predicted model, not a curated record.